This 465-nucleotide ribosomal RNA is filed under the name uncultured Klebsiella sp. Its description in RNAcentral is "bacterial SSU rRNA". It matches the Rfam family "Bacterial small subunit ribosomal RNA", at positions 338 to 795 of the family's 1533-position model. Lineage: Bacteria; Pseudomonadati; Pseudomonadota; Gammaproteobacteria; Enterobacterales; Enterobacteriaceae. The record is from RNAcentral.
CCUACGGGCGGCUGCAGUGGGGAAUAUUGCACAAUGGGCGCAAGCCUGAUGCAGCCAUGCCGCGUGUGUGAAGAAGGCCUUCGGGUUGUAAAGCACUUUCAGCGGGGAGGAAGGCGGUGAGGUUAAUAACCUCAUCGAUUGACGUUACCCGCAGAAGAAGCACCGGCUAACUCCGUGCCAGCAGCCGCGGUAAUACGGAGGGUGCAAGCGUUAAUCGGAAUUACUGGGCGUAAAGCGCACGCAGGCGGUCUGUCAAGUCGGAUGUGAAAUCCCCGGGCUCAACCUGGGAACUGCAAUCGAAACUGGCAGGCUAGAGUCUUGUAGAGGGGGGUAGAAUUCCAGGUGUAGCGGUGAAAUGCGUAGAGAUCUGGAGGAAUACCGGUGGCGAAGGCGGCCCCCUGGACAAAGACUGACGCUCAGGUGCGAAAGCGUGGGGAGCAAACAGGAUUAGAUACCCUUGUAGUC